GCUGACGUGGUUGGCAGUUUCAUCUUCAGAUUUGACAAAGUUGUCAGAAAAGACAAUCAUUUCAAAUUCUUCAUCAACCCAUUUCAGUCUCUCUGCCUUGCAUUUAUAAAAGGAAGCAAAGUACAACAUCAUCAACAAAAUUAUCUCAUAAUUUCAUUCCUACAAGUAGCUAAACCAGCAGCGGAUAUUGCUCAUCAUCAAAUUCCACAGGAUGAUGAAGCAACAGAGCAGAAUUUCAGCAGUCUAUCAACUAGUUGUAUGAGCAACAUAUUUUUGAAAUCCGGAGCCCAACAAAAAUUUCAAAAUGGUAUAUGAAAUUCUUUUUUAACCGAAACGGCAAAAUCGCUCACGAGGUAGCGAUUUUGUCCGACGAAAAAAAGCAAAAUUGCUGCUAUAUGAAAUUUUUGUUAACAUUUUUCGCCUUUAGGCUCCGGACUCCA
Solanum lycopersicum (tomato) is the source of this 440-nucleotide non-coding RNA. NCBI's taxonomy places the organism in Eukaryota, Viridiplantae, Streptophyta, Magnoliopsida, Solanales, Solanaceae. The record is from RefSeq and is a predicted model, not a curated record.